RNAcentral lists this ribosomal RNA (301 nucleotides) under uncultured bacterium. RNAcentral's name for it is "partial 16S ribosomal RNA". It matches the Rfam family "Bacterial small subunit ribosomal RNA", at positions 509 to 808 of the family's 1533-position model. The record is from RNAcentral.
CAGUCGCCGCGGGAAUACGUAGGUCCCGAGCGUUGUCCGGAUUUAUUGGGCGUAAAGGGAGCGCAGGCGGUUUAGUAAGUCUGGAGUUAAAGGCAUUGGCUCAACCAAUGUAUGCUUUGGAAACUGUUUGACUUGAGUGCAGAAGGGGAGAGUGGAAUUCCAUGUGUAGCGGAGAAAUGCGCAGAUAUAUGGAGGAACACCGGUGGCGAAAGCGGCUCUCUGGUCUGUCACUGACGCUGAGGCUCGAAAGCGUGGGUAGCGAACAGGAUUAGAUACCCCCGUAGUCCCUGUCUCUUAUACA